UCCUAGAUCGACAACCUCCGCGACGCCGUCGCCAAGGUCGGCGAGAUCAGCGAGAACGAGAAGGCCGGGUUCAUCAGCCUCGUCUCGCGCUACCUCAGCGGCGAGGCGGAGCAGAUCGAGUGGAGCAAGAUCCAGACCCCCACCGAUGAGUUGGUGGUGCCCUACGACACCCUCGU
Long non-coding RNA from Triticum dicoccoides, 176 nucleotides. RefSeq lists it as uncharacterized. The transcript is spliced from 3 exons. The record is from RefSeq and is a predicted model, not a curated record. NCBI's taxonomy places the organism in Eukaryota, Viridiplantae, Streptophyta, Magnoliopsida, Poales, Poaceae.